RNAcentral lists this ribosomal RNA (253 nucleotides) under uncultured bacterium. Its description in RNAcentral is "partial 16S ribosomal RNA". It matches the Rfam family "Bacterial small subunit ribosomal RNA", at positions 524 to 776 of the family's 1533-position model. The record is from RNAcentral.
UACGAAGGGGGCUAGCGUUGUUCGGAAUUACUGGGCGUAAAGCGCGUGUAGGCGGGUCUUUAAGUCAGAGGUGAAAUCCCAAGGCUCAACCUUGGAACUGCCUUUGAUACUGGGGAUCUUGAGUCCGGGAGAGGUGAGUGGAACUGCGAGUGUAGGGGUGAAAUUCGUAGAUAUUCGCAAGAACACCAGUGGCGAAGGCGGCACUCUGGGCCGGUACUGACGCUGAGGAGCGAAAGCGUGGGGAGCGAACAGG